Molecule: non-coding RNA, 945 nt
Organism: Nicotiana tabacum (common tobacco)
Lineage: Eukaryota; Viridiplantae; Streptophyta; Magnoliopsida; Solanales; Solanaceae
Source: RefSeq, a predicted model, not a curated record
UCUAUUUUGAGAAUGAUUUGGCAACGAUACAAUGUCAUUUCACCAUGGAAGAUUCUUUUAGUCUAUUACUUUCCUCUCUUUCUGAGAUGUUGACGACAAUUCUCCGAGCAUCCAAUCCCCUUCCGGUCCACUUCUCAAACCACAUUUAGAACUCGAAAAGGGGGAAUACUAGCUAGAAAUUGCUCAAAUUUCCAUCAUACAAAUUGAUGAGGAUUGCAUGUAACAAUUAAAUCAAAUGGUGCUGUGAUAAAUUGCGUAGCAUCUAUUUGCACUGUGAAGCCGAGGAAACAUCUUUGCUCGAAAUGAAAUUUAAGUGAGUUUAGCAAGGAUGAGGUGGUUUAGAGUAAUGCACAAGUCCACUAUUGAAUGUGAAGCUCUAACAGAAUUCAAAGGAUUUUGACAACAGCAUGAUCAGUCAGUUUGCUCUAUUUUGAGAGUGAUUUGGGAACGAUACAAUGUCAUUUUCUGUUGGAAGGCUUUUUCAGCUUUUAGCUGAAGUUUACAAUUGAUGGUCAUAUACCGCUCAAAUUGCGUCUUGAAAUUGAGUAAAUGGAGGAGUGGCCAGUGAUUGCUCAAUCCCCCCACUGUAUUAUCAAGGCAUCGGUAACAGGAUUUAUCAGCUCUUUGAUUGGUGAAAAAACUGAAACGAUAUAAGGCUUACAUCUUCUAAGAAGGAGGUUGAUUAGAAUGAUGUGAUGCCUGAAGUUUCAGCUAAAACCACGUCUAGAAUUUGACAAGGGGGAUUACUGGACUAAAACUGCUCAUAUUUCCACCAUAAGAGUCGAUGGGAAAUAGCGAAGGUGCUCUAACUGAUCUAAGGUAAUUCUGUUUUUUCUUUCCUUUGUUUGUUGAUUCUUUCCCUUUGUGAAAUAUUGUUGAGCAGUGUGUAGCGUCUAUUGCCACUAUGAAGCCGAGGAAGUAUCUUCAUAUCAGGAUGAAAGAUGA